GACGAACGCUGGCGGUGUGCUUAACACAUGCAAGUCGAACGGUAAGGCCCUUCCUGGGGUACACGAGUGGCGCACGGGUGAGUAACACGUGAGUAACCUGCCCUCAUCUCUGGGAUAACAGUCGGAAACGGUUGCUAAUAUUGGAUAUGAGCUUGCAAGGCAUCUUUUGGGUUGGAAAGAUUUUUUUUGGUUGGGGAUGGACUCGCGGCCUAUCAGCUUGUUGGUGAGGUAGUGGCUCACCAAGGCUUCGACGGGUAGCCGGCCUGAGAGGGCGACAGGCCACAUUGGGACUGAGAUAAGGCCCAAACUCCUACGGGAGGCAGCAGUGGGGAAUAUUGCACAAUGGACGGAAGUCUGAUGCAGCAACGCCGCGUGCGGGAUGACGGCCUUCGGGUUGUAAACCGCUUUCAAUUGUGACGAAGCUUUUUUGUGACGGUAGCAGUAGAAGAAGCACCGGCUAACUACGUG
RNAcentral lists this ribosomal RNA (468 nucleotides) under uncultured bacterium. RNAcentral's name for it is "partial 16S ribosomal RNA". It matches the Rfam family "Bacterial small subunit ribosomal RNA", at positions 28 to 507 of the family's 1533-position model. The record is from RNAcentral.